CUCCCCUCUUUGUCCUAUCCUAGAUGGACACAUCUGUCACUUUUAAGUCCCUAUUGCUCAUCUGUCACGGUCCACAACCAAGAAGAGACAAGGGAAGGGGCCAGAUGAAUGUUCUGCCACCAAGAGGAAGACUUUGACAUUUAAAAAAUUCUCCAUCUCUCUCCAAGUGUCCCAUCCCCAACUCAGAAAUAAUAAUAAUGAAAAAUCCAUGAAGAGGACAUUAAUAUGUUGCAGAUGAAGACACUGAGGCUUGGAGAACUUAAAUUGCCCAAAGAGCUUCUCACACCUGACUCUCAAGACCCUUGAAAGCCUGGUCUCCAUCUGCUUCUGCAAUCUCAUCUCCCAGUGGUGCCCUCCUAGAAUCCUCCAUGGCAGUUGCCAUGGACUCCCAGGUUGAAGGUCACAUAACCUUAGCAUGCCCAGAUAAACCAAGUAUGCAACCACACGGGGAACCUAAGUGCUCAGACCAAGGAGCAGGAACUGAAUUAAGACACGGACACCACAUGGCAGAAUCCAAGAUCCAAUCAGAUCGAGCUCUGGAAUCACCCCAUGGUGGAAGCCAGUCAGAUCAUUCCUCUUGGCAUCACCUCAUUGCAAGAUCCAAUCAGAUCACGUCUCAUUACCCUAUCCUUAUAAAACCGGACAGACCUCAGCUCAGGAAGGCACUGCUUUGGGAGCUAUCACCCCUAUUUUCCUUAAUUACUUCAAGUAAUAAAA
This 717-nucleotide long non-coding RNA is filed under the name Homo sapiens (human). Its description in RNAcentral is "HSALNT0370857". The record is from RNAcentral. Lineage: Eukaryota; Metazoa; Chordata; Mammalia; Primates; Hominidae.